RNAcentral lists this ribosomal RNA (1416 nucleotides) under uncultured bacterium. RNAcentral describes it as "16S ribosomal RNA". It matches the Rfam family "Bacterial small subunit ribosomal RNA". The record is from RNAcentral.
UUUGAGUUUGAUCCUGGCUCAGGAUGAACGCUGGCGGUGUGCCUAAUGCAUGCAAGUCGAACGAGGUCGCAAGACCGAGUGGCGAACGGGUGAGUAACGCGUAGGAAUCUGCCCCGAACCAGAGAAUACCCAGCCGAAAGGUUGGCUAAUACUCUAUAGUCCCGCAAGGGUAAAGAUUUAUCGGUUCGGGAGGAGCCUGCGUCCUAUCAGCUAGUUGGUGAGGUAACGGCUUACCAAGGCAGUGACGGGUAGCUGGACUGAGAGGUUGACCAGCCACAAUGGGACUGAGACACGGCCCAUACUCCUACGGGAGGCAGCAGCAGGGAAUUUUGCGCAAUGGACGAAAGUCUGACGCAGCGACACCGCGUGGAGGAUGAAGGCCUUCGGGUUGUAAACUCCUUUUGCAUGGGACGAUUAUGACGGUACCAUGCGAAUAAGCACCGACUAACUACGUGCCAGCAGUCGCGGUAAUACGUAGGGUGCAAGCGUUAUCCGGAUUUAUUGGGCGUAAAGCGCUCGUAGGUGGUUAAUUAAGUCUUCUGUUAAAGCUCCGGGCUCAACUCGGAGAGGCAGAAGAUACUGAUUGGCUAGAGGGUGGCAGAGGCUAGCGGAAUUCUAGGUGUAGGAGUGAAAUCCUUUGAUAUCUAGAAGAACACCAAUGGCGAAGGCAGCUAGCUAGGUCACAUCUGACACUGAGGAGCGAAAGCGUGGGGAGCGAACGGGAUUAGAUACCCCGGUAGUCCACGCCGUAAACUAUGUUCACUGGCUGUCAGGAGAAUCGACCUCCUUGCAGCGAAGCUAACGCGUCAAGUGAACCGCCUGGGAAGUACGGCCGCAAGGCUAAAACUCAAAGGAAUUGACGGGGGCUCGCACAAGCGGUGGAACAUGAGGUUUAAUUCGAUGAUAAGCGGAGAACCUUACCAGGACUUGACAUCCCAAGAAGGACCUAGAGAUAGGACUGUGCCGUAAGGAGCUUGGUGACAGGUGCUGCACGGUUGUCGUCAGUUCGUGUCGUGAGAUGUACCGUUAAGUCGGCUAACGAACGAAACCCUUGUCCUGUGUUGAAUUUUUCACAGGAGACCGCCUCGUACAACGGGGAGGAAGGUGGGGACGACGUCAAAUCAGCGUGGCCCUUACGUCCUGGGAUACACUCGUGUUACAAUGCCAUGUACAAAGGGUUGCAAAGUCGUGAGACGGAGCUAAUCCCAUAAAACAUGGCCCAGUUCGGAUUGAAGUCUGCAACUCGACUUCAUGAAGCCGGAAUCGCUAGUAAUCGUGGAUCAGAACGCCACGGUGAAUACGUUCUCGAGCCUUGUACACACCGCCCGUCAAGUGAGCCGAGUUGGUAGCACCAGAAGCGCCUGUAUAGGUUCCAAGGUGAGAUCAGCAAGGAGCACUAAGUCGUAACAAGGUAAC